AUCUAAUUGACGAGUCUCAAAUAGGACGAAACACACGUCCUGAAU
This is a non-coding RNA of Schistosoma margrebowiei, 45 nucleotides long. Lineage: Eukaryota; Metazoa; Platyhelminthes; Trematoda; Strigeidida; Schistosomatidae. The record is from Rfam.